CCUACGGGAGGCAGCAGUGGGGAAUAUUGGACAAUGGGGGGAACCCUGAUCCAGCGACGCCGCGUGAGUGAAGAAGUAUUUCGGUAUGUAAAGCUCUAUCAGCAGGGAAGAAAGAAAUGACGGUACCUGACUAAUAAGCCCCGGCUAACUACGUGCCAGCAGCCGCGGUAAUACGUAGGGGGCAAGCGUUAUCCGGAUUUACUGGGUGUAAAGGGAGCGUAGACGGCGAUGCAAGUCUGAAGUGAAAGGCGGGGGCCCAACCCCCGGACUGCUUUGGAAACUGUAUGGCUGGAGUGCGGGAGAGGUAAGUGGAAUGCCUAGUGUAGCGGUGAAAUGCGUAGAUAUUAGGAGGAACACCAGUGGCGAAGGCGGCUUACUGGACUGUAACUGACGUUGAGGCUCGAAAGCGUGGGGAGCAAACAGGAUUAGAUACCCCAGUAGUC
RNAcentral lists this ribosomal RNA (443 nucleotides) under uncultured bacterium. Its description in RNAcentral is "partial 16S ribosomal RNA". It matches the Rfam family "Bacterial small subunit ribosomal RNA", at positions 338 to 795 of the family's 1533-position model. The record is from RNAcentral.